GGCGCUAUAGUGUAGUGGUUAUCACUUGGGAUUCUGAAGAAAUUUCCCAAAACCCAGGUUCGAGCCCUGGUAGCGCCU
This 78-nucleotide transfer RNA is filed under the name Dichomitus squalens LYAD-421 SS1. It matches the Rfam family "tRNA". From Rfam's summary of the family: Transfer RNA (tRNA) molecules are approximately 80 nucleotides in length. Their secondary structure includes four short double-helical elements and three loops (D, anti-codon, and T loops). Further hydrogen bonds mediate the characteristic L-shaped molecular structure. tRNAs have two regions of fundamental functional importance: the anti-codon, which is responsible for specific mRNA codon recognition, and the 3' end, to which the tRNAs corresponding amino acid is attached (by aminoacyl-tRNA synthetases). tRNAs cope with the degeneracy of the genetic code in two manners: having more than one tRNA (with a specific anti-codon) for a particular amino acid; and 'wobble' base-pairing, i.e. permitting non-standard base-pairing at the 3rd anti-codon position. Lineage: Eukaryota; Fungi; Basidiomycota; Agaricomycetes; Polyporales; Polyporaceae. The record is from Rfam by way of RNAcentral.